RNAcentral lists this signal recognition particle RNA (293 nucleotides) under Cebus imitator (Panamanian white-faced capuchin). Its description in RNAcentral is "Metazoan signal recognition particle RNA (ENSCCAG00000007384.1)". It matches the Rfam family "Metazoan signal recognition particle RNA". Rfam says of the family: The signal recognition particle (SRP) is a universally conserved ribonucleoprotein. It is involved in the co-translational targeting of proteins to membranes. The record is from RNAcentral. Lineage: Eukaryota; Metazoa; Chordata; Mammalia; Primates; Cebidae.
GCCGGGCAUGGUGGUGCAUGCCUGUAGUCCCAGCUUCUCGGGAGGCUGAGGUGGGAGGAUCACUUGGGCCCAGGAAUUCUGGGCUAUAGUGCGCUAUGUCGAUCAGGUGUCCAAACUAAGUUCGGCAUCAAUAUGGUGACCUCCGGGAGUGGGGGACCACCAGGUUGCCUAAGGAGGGGUGAACUGGCUCAGGUCGGAAAUGGAGCAGGUCAAAACUCCCGUGCUGAUUAGUAGUGGGAUCACACCUGUGAAUAGCCCCUGCGCCCCAGUCUGGGCAACAUAUAUAUAUAUUU